UGCAAGGGGAGAAAAA
This 16-nucleotide non-coding RNA is filed under the name Gossypium hirsutum (cotton). Lineage: Eukaryota; Viridiplantae; Streptophyta; Magnoliopsida; Malvales; Malvaceae. The record is from RNAcentral.